AAAUUGAAGAGUUUGAUCAUGGCUCAGAUUGAACGCUGGCGGCAGGCCUAACACAUGCAAGUCGAACGGUAGCACAGAGAGCUUGCUCUCGGGUGACGAGUGGCGGACGGGUGAGUAAUGUCUGGGAAACUGCCCGAUGGAGGGGGAUAACUACUGGAAACGGUAGCUAAUACCGCAUAACGUCGCAAGACCAAAGUGGGGGACCUUCGGGCCUCACACCAUCGGAUGUGCCCAGAUGGGAUUAGCUAGUAGGUGGGGUAACGGCUCACCUAGGCGACGAUCCCUAGCUGGUCUGAGAGGAUGACCAGCCACACUGGAACUGAGACACGGUCCAGACUCCUACGGGAGGCAGCAGUGGGGAAUAUUGCACAAUGGGCGCAAGCCUGAUGCAGCCAUGCCGCGUGUAUGAAGAAGGCCUUCGGGUUGUAAAGUACUUUCAGCGAGGAGGAAGGCGUUGUGGUUAAUAACCACAGCGAUUGACGUUACUCGCAGAAGAAGCACCGGCUAACUCCGUGCCAGCAGCCGCGGUAAUACGGAGGGUGCAAGCGUUAAUCGGAAUUACUGGGCGUAAAGCGCACGCAGGCGGUUUGUUAAGUCAGAUGUGAAAUCCCCGGGCUCAACCUGGGAACUGCAUUUGAAACUGGCAAGCUUGAGUCUCGUAGAGGGGGGUAGAAUUCCAGGUGUAGCGGUGAAAUGCGUAGAGAUCUGGAGGAAUACCGGUGGCGAAGGCGGCCCCCUGGACAAAGACUGACGCUCAGGUGCGAAAGCGUGGGGAGCAAACAGGAUUAGAUACCCUGGUAGUCCACGCCGUAAACGAUGUCUACUUGGAGGUUGUGCCCUUGAGGCGUGGCUUCCGGAGCUAACGCGUUAAGUAGACCGCCUGGGGAGUACGGCCGCAAGGUUAAAACUCAAAUGAAUUGACGGGGGCCCGCACAAGCGGUGGAGCAUGUGGUUUAAUUCGAUGCAACGCGAAGAACCUUACCUGGUCUUGACAUCCACGGAAGUUUUCAGAGAUGAGAAUGUGCCUUCGGGAACCGUGAGACAGGUGCUGCAUGGCUGUCGUCAGC
Molecule: ribosomal RNA, 1067 nt
Filed under: Salmonella enterica subsp. enterica serovar Kentucky
Lineage: Bacteria; Pseudomonadati; Pseudomonadota; Gammaproteobacteria; Enterobacterales; Enterobacteriaceae
Description: bacterial SSU rRNA
Rfam family: Bacterial small subunit ribosomal RNA
Source: RNAcentral